Molecule: long non-coding RNA, 2294 nt
Organism: Gasterosteus aculeatus aculeatus (three-spined stickleback)
Lineage: Eukaryota; Metazoa; Chordata; Actinopteri; Perciformes; Gasterosteidae
Source: Ensembl
UUGUUUGCAGGAAGUGUUAAUGCACAAGUUAUGUCCAUAACUUGUUCUGUCGUCAGUAGAGCAUAAAUAUUCAUUUUGUAUUUGUAAGCUGUAUAACUGGUGUAUGUUAUUAAAACUAUUGCACAAGUUUCUUAUAAACUUAUUUAUCAGUAAUACAGUAAAAAUGGUGGGACGAGUCGAUUUAUAGCGUGCGCCCCUAAAUGUUAAGUUAGGGGCCACUGUGCUCCCAGUGAGAAGAGUUAGUCUGGAGCCCUGAUCAUACAUACGAAGCUGCAUCUUGCAAAGGAAUUGCAGGACUCGUGACAGAGAAUGUCCCAACAUGUGACUCGCAAUGUCCACCUGUCCCCCGUCCGUCCCUCUGUCUCUGUUUGUCUGGUGCUUCGUCUUGUCUGUGGUGUUUUACAGUGAAUGUGUUCCCAGAUGAACACACCUCUAGUGGCUCAGAGGACGUGACAACCAAUAAAUGGACCUGAGCACCACAUGUCCUGCGUCCCUCUGGAAGUCCUGGACAUGCUUCAGGCUGAAUCAUCUCAUGGUCACAGAUUACAGAUAUUCAGUGUGGGGCGCUGGGUGGUGUAAGUGAAUAUGUGAACCACAUGGUGGCAGCACGCUGAUGGAGUUCACUUCACAAGAAGCUCCCUCCUCACAGCGCCGAGUGACUGUGAGUAUCUGUACUACUUCCAGCUGAGUGACGCACCAUCCAGUCACUGGAUUCACUUCAUUUAUGUUGAACACAUAGUAAGAAUUUGACGCAUAACGCCUCAUCUGUAAAUGGAAAAACAUUUAUCCUGUUAAACACGUCCACAAAGGGUUGAAUGCACUUUGUAUUUAAUACAUGAAAAUGAAGAGAAAUGAUGCUGAACAAUAUGAAACAUGCUGGUUUGGCUUAAGAAUUAAAAGAAAACAUUAAAUCAAAUGUCUUUCUGCGUUCAUUGUGUGUUAAAAAUAUCACAUGAUUUUAGAUACAAAACACUGACAACAUGCGCUGCUGUUAAUUAUUAACUUUAAAACCUCACAACAACUUAACGGGCUGAUGGCAGAGUGAAUUCAUCAUGUUGGUUGAUGUAAUAGUUUAGAUUGUUCUUGAUGUUUGAAAAAUGGCUCUUUAAACCUGCGAGUGGUGGAUGUUUUGAGAAAAUAUGAUUAAUAAAAGAAUCUGACAAUUGUUUAGUGUUGUGGUCUAAAGUUCCACCAGAGCCGUACACUUGAUAAUUAGAAGUGCUGAUGCAGAGGUCUUUUCCAGCUGGUUGUAGUUGAAGUAAACACGUAAGGUUAAGGUUUUGUAAAGAACAUACGGACAUCGGUCCAGAAAGACAACUAUUGUCACCACCGCAAUUCAUUUCAUGACCGACAGCAGUAUGACCGGCGAAGUCCUUCCUGUGUUUCUCCAGCAGCUGAUCCAGGUCCUGUAGAUACGUAGUGAGGGCAGCUUGGAUGACAUGAACAUAGUCCUUCGAACUGAUGCCAGUCUUCUGAUUCAGUCGAGCCUCAUGGAUCAACAUCUGGACGUGGAAGGAGGCUCCGUUCACCCAGAUCUUCAACCCACGGCUCCUCAUCUGUCCUGUAGAUACGUAGUGAGGGCAGCUUGGAUGACAUGAACAUAGCCCUUCGAACUGAUGCCAGUCGUGUGAUUCAGUCGAGCCUGAUGGAUCAACAUCUGGACGUGGAAGGAGGCUCCGUUCACCCAGAUCUUCAACCCACGGCUCCUCAUCUGUCCGUCAAGCAGCAGGGAGUUUCUGAGGAUGGUGAGAUGGUUGCUCAGCUGUAUCUCCAGUCUCUCUAGUUCACCCUGUAGGUGUCGGUUAUCAGUCAGGUACAUCCGAUGGCGCUUCACAUACUCCGACACAGUGUCCCGGACUCCUGAGGCCUUCUCUUCACCAAAUGCCUGCAGGAACUUGCUGUAUGAAUCAUCAGAAGUUGCAACGUGGCUCUUCAUGGAAAUAUCUAUGAUCAUGGAAAUCAUCAAUGCUCCGAGUCCAACAGCAUUUGGGAAUAAAGUACACGAACUCAAACUAGAUCCCAACUUCUCAACGUAUUCUGGAAUCUGAUUGACCAGACCAUCGGAGUAGGUCUGCAGCUCAGCGUUGGAGUUCAAACCAGAAUACUUCAGCAGAGACCGGUCUAGGCCCACAUCUGGAAUGAUACAUGUUUCCCGUAAGGCUCUUUCAUAAAUAUUGAGAGCACAGCUGUCAUAAAUCUCUUGUGAGUAUUCACAGGAGCUUCCAGAGCCCAUGUUUUCGACUGGAACCUGGAGACUCAAACAAAGCUGAGACGUACCCGAAUUCACGCCAGAG